This 554-nucleotide ribosomal RNA is filed under the name uncultured Glomeromycotina. RNAcentral's name for it is "SSU rRNA". It matches the Rfam family "Eukaryotic small subunit ribosomal RNA", at positions 546 to 1106 of the family's 1831-position model. The record is from RNAcentral. Lineage: Eukaryota; Fungi; Glomeromycota.
AAUUGGAGGGCAAGUCUGGUGCCAGCAGCCGCGGUAAUUCCAGCUCCAAUAGCGUAUAUUAAAGUUGUUGCAGUUAAAAAGCUCGUAGUUGAAUUUCGGGGUUCUACCGUUGGUCGGGCUUUGUCUGUACUGGCGUGUAGAAUUUCUACCUUCUGGGGAACCAUCAUGUUAUUAAUUUAACGUGGUGGGAAACCAGGACCUUUACCUUGAAAAAAUUAGAGUGUUCAAAGCAGGCUUAUGUCUGAAUACAUUAGCAUGGAAUAAUAGAAUAGGACGGUGGUCCUGUUUUGUUGGUUUCUGAAUCACCGUAAUGAUUAAUAGGGAUAGUUGGGGGCAUUAGUAUUCAAUUGUCAGAGGUGAAAUUCUUGGAUUUAUUGAAGACUAACUUCUGCGAAAGCAUUUGCCAAGGAUGUUUUCAUUAAUCAAGAACGAAAGUUAGGGGAUCGAAGACGAUCAGAUACCGUCGUAGUCUUAACCAUAAACUAUGCCGACUAGGGAUCGGACGAUGUUAAUUUUUCUUGACUCGUUCGGCGCCUUACGGGAAACCAAAGUGU